AUGCCCCGCCCCUCACGCAGCGCGCCGUCAGUGGGGUGGAAAGUGAGACCAACUCAGAAAUGGAGCAAUAGAGGCAGGGAGUGGUCUUGGCCUCUCUUCCAGGCUGUAGUCAGUCGAAAGACGGCUCUGGGGUUUCUUUGGCCUGUCGGGACGAACUUACAGAACUUUUGCCCUUCAACAAGCCCCACUGUACCCUUGUAACUGCCCCCAAGCCAAGGAACAUGACCCACCCCUACCCGCCCCGGGAGCCCCAUGGCUCCUGUCCUGUUCUGUCAUCUCCACCCUAUGAAGGUGGCCAGCGUCUGGAGUUUAGCCCAAUGGAGUCUUGCUGUGUUGCCUAGGCUGGAGUGCAGUGGCACCAUGUCGACUCACUGCAACCUCCGCCUCCCCGGUUCAAGCGAUUCUCCUGCCUCAGCCUCCUGAGUAGCUGGGAUUACAGGGUCUCACUCUGUCACCCAGGCUGGAGUGCAGUGGCGCAGUCAUGGCUCCCUGUAACCUCAACCUCUCAGACUCCAGCAAUCCUCCUGCGACAGCGAAGUUAAUCUUCUGGUUCGGUUCACAAAGUGCAGGAGAGCCUACCAGCUUGAGAGAAAAGGAGUCAUGCUGUAUUUGUUUCCUUGAGUGAAUGGCCACUCAGCUGCUGUGUUUCUCCCUGCAUGUGGCUGAAGUUUACAUUGGAGGGUGACUUCCUGAUUGCCAGUUAGCAUAUGUGUCCGGCUACCAGCCGCCUGACUGGCUGAGGAUGCUCUUUGUUUGUUCAAGGAUGAACGUUCUCCCCCUGCCUUGCAGGAAGAGGGGAGCAAGGUGCGCCCGGGAGACGCGUGACAGUGCCCUGUAAAGCCAGUAGAGGAAAUCUUGUGGAGUGUGAAUGCACAGGCUUAGAUUCCCCUGUCCCUGAGUCGGGGGCAUGUGCUCGUGGAGAAUGACCCUAUCAAGUUCAAGGUGUGGCAUCUCCUGAUCCAGCAACAGGAUUUGUUCCAGAGAAAAAUCCCCAGGUCUUGGGACUGUUGACAGAUGGCCAUGACUAUGCUUAAUGUGGUCAUCAACUGAGAAUGGUCCGUCUCAUCUUUGAGUAUGCAAUUACCUUUAUAGCUGAUUAUGACACCCUCAGAUCAUAUCAUGAGGUGGACAAGAUGAGUCCAUGGCCCAUGCUGAGAACUGGUACUUCUGUCUUCAUAGACUCACUCACCAACCAGAGAUGUACGACGGACCCCAAAUGGUCUGUCAAAAAUGUGAACUUGCACUAAGACAAGACCCAACAUCAGUGACAUUGGACACAAGAUAGAAAUCAGAGAACAGUUACUGUCCAGCAGUUUUAACCACCAAUACCCAUUUAUUUUAAUGGAAAAAAAAAUCUCUGCAUUCUAUAUGUUCCAAAAGGAUUUACCAUUGAAACAAAUACAAUAUAUGGAACUCUAUCUGUAUAAUUUCACUACAACAAAGACAACAUAUGACUUCUACUUCCUACAGAAGGCUAACUGAAAGCACAAGUGCAAACAUAGAUUGCAUAAGAAAGCGUGUGUGUGUGCAUGUGCGGUUAAAACCUUUAGUAAGCAACUGCAUUAAAAUAUGCUAAGACACUCACCUUACCCUAGUUCGUGGCGAGCUCUAAUAAAAAGCCACAAGCUGUCACUAGUUUUAUUUGAUAGAAAAAUUUGGUGUGAGCUUUGAUGAUUCAUUUAUGGUUUAUCAACAAGAAGGUAAUCUUAGAACAAGCACUAACUUUCCGCUUUUACAUGCUCACAGAAUACAAAUCAGUUACUUUUCAUACAUAAUGAACGUCUUUUAUUUUCGGGUUUGCAAACAACGGUAGUCAAUUCACACAAAAGGGUACUUUUAAAACUACCUGUAUUUACUCUAUUUUAUGCCUGUAUAUAUGAAACAAACAGCGUGAAUGUGCAUAAAUGUAUGUCUGUACAUGUGGGUAUAUAUGUGUAUACAAGAUGGUACCUGUACACCUCUUUGUAUGCAUGUAUGACCUCCAUGAUGACAGGUGCAGUUGUACAUUUACUGAGGAGGGAGAGAUUCUCUACCAUGAUCUGUGUCCCCAUUAGAAUCAGUACGACUGUGGAUUCGGGACACAUACAAAUGCAGGUUGGUGCCCAUGAAAGAAAAUGUCAGCCCUUUUCUUGGCAUUUGGUGGUGAAAUUGCCUGCUCUGCUCCUCACCUCCUUGGCUCAGGAUCACGGCAUCAGAUGGCAGUGUAAAUUGGUUGUAGUCCUCGAACUCAAUAAAGAGAAAGGACUUCUUUCUCUGCUCUCCCUCUCUGUGGACCUGCCUGGCUGGUUGUGGCAGCAUUCAGACUGAACGGGACAGUGGAGAAGUAGCUUCGGAGCAAAAGUGACAGCUCUGUGGUCUGUCCUCAUGCUGACCUUGAUGCGGGAGGCCCUGGAGGGUUCAGGUGUCUUAGUUUCCACCCACCUUGCUUAACCUUGCAAGGAAGAAUGGCAUCAAAACGAGGCUUCUCCAGGAUAGUCUCUCUCUAUAAAUACCGUGUAUAUAUACAUACAGAUACUCAUACAUACACCAAUACUAACCCACAGACAAAGCUGGGUGCCUGGAGCACUGGCUAGCGACAUGUUAACACACCAGAAAAAGUAGUCAUUGUUCCUGCUCCCAGAAGAUCAAGUCAUAUGUCAUGAUCUUUAAACAUUCAGGGAAAAUUCAGAAGAUUCCAUUAAUUAAAGGAGGGAGGAAGAUGCUGUCAAAAUGAUGAAGUACAGACUAAGUGAAAUUGUAAAGAAAAUAAAAAACCGGAACAAUUGAGGCCUAGUUGUGAAGUUCGAUAGCUGUAAACCGCAAUCUUCAGAUUUGGAUAGAUUUUUUUUUUUCCUGUUGCUAUGGAAACUUGGGAGUCAAGCUUCAGACGUCAGGAGUUCUCACAGACCUGAAUAGAGAGGGUUCAGAGUUAAGUCGGGAAUAUCACCACUCAAUUCAAAACAUUUUAGCUAAAAGCCAGAAAAAUGACAGGCAAGGUAUAAUAAACACAUUUUAAACAUCACACGACUAUGGGGGAAUUUUUU
This 3023-nucleotide long non-coding RNA is filed under the name Homo sapiens (human). RNAcentral's name for it is "LHRI_LNC153.3". Lineage: Eukaryota; Metazoa; Chordata; Mammalia; Primates; Hominidae. The record is from RNAcentral.